CUUCAACGAUCCCAGGUACAGGGGCUGUUCGUCGGUGUGUUCCUGCCCGUAGGUGGUGAGCAGCGCCUGGGCCUC
This 75-nucleotide antisense RNA is filed under the name Streptomyces capillispiralis. RNAcentral's name for it is "ASpks TB sRNA". It matches the Rfam family "ASpks TB sRNA". The record is from RNAcentral. Lineage: Bacteria; Bacillati; Actinomycetota; Actinomycetes; Kitasatosporales; Streptomycetaceae.